AUAACCAUGAGACCGAUAGUAAACAAGUACCGUGAGGGAAAGUUGAAAAGAACUCUGAAUAGAGAGUUAAAUAGUACGUGAAACUGCUUAGAGGUUAAGCCCGAUGAACCUGAAUAUCCAAUAUAGAAAAUUCAUCAUUAUGACUCUAAUAUUUUUAAAUAUUAUAAUAAUAGUGUGCAUUUUUUCUAUAGAGGACAUUGUAAUCUAUUGAUAUAAAAGAAAUUUAUUAUAAGAUCGAUUGCGCAAGUUU
RNAcentral lists this ribosomal RNA (250 nucleotides) under Blepharipa albicauda. RNAcentral describes it as "partial 28S ribosomal RNA". It matches the Rfam family "Eukaryotic large subunit ribosomal RNA", at positions 322 to 569 of the family's 3401-position model. Lineage: Eukaryota; Metazoa; Arthropoda; Insecta; Diptera; Tachinidae. The record is from RNAcentral.